Molecule: long non-coding RNA, 747 nt
Organism: Coffea arabica (coffee)
Lineage: Eukaryota; Viridiplantae; Streptophyta; Magnoliopsida; Gentianales; Rubiaceae
Source: RefSeq, a predicted model, not a curated record
UGUGUUCCUUUUCUUUUCAAUUGGACAUUACAAUUUUGUUAAGCUUUUCAGUGACCUAGUUCAUCUUCUUUCAGGCAUUGGAAAAGUCCAAAUACGAGCAAUCACUUGACUCUAUUUGACGGUUUAUUGCUAUUGCUGAGAGGGAGCUUGAAAUAUGUUAUAGACAUGUGGCACUUUAUGGCGACCCAAAUGCCCAGGAUCCGAACUCAAAUCCUUGAUAAACCAAGACCGAUGGAGUCGGCAAGGCUGAUAAUUUUACAAGAUGCUGGCUAGUCCUAGGCAGAUGCUUUUCUGUAUGGUUAAGGACUGGUUAAAGCGAUUUCAAUCAUUAUGACUGUCUUACUACAAAUAGUUGGCAAAGGUUUCUCCUCAUCGGUACAGAAUAAGGUAGUUUCGGGUGAGAAGUCAUGAUGGGAGUCUGUCACCUCUGUUAAGACAUUCAGUUGAGUUCCAAUGGAAGGCAUGGCAGCAAAAGCGACAAGAGCUGAGUCAUGAAUGAUAGAGUUUGAUGAAGAAGACAUAUAAUGUGAUCAUACCUCACCUUAAUAGUGCUGGUCAUAGCAUUGAUAUAUAGUAUUGAUGUCAAACCAAGGCCAACAUCAGAGAAGAAACAUUAAAAAAACCUUUGAAAACGAAAGACUCCUCUGUUUUUGACCACUGAGCAAUUUGAUACCAAAAGUCACAGCUAUUACAAGCAAAGGAACCACAAGAAUAUGCAACAUAUGAGGUAAAAUGAUCUUUUGGUUA